This 598-nucleotide ribosomal RNA is filed under the name Aspergillus niger. RNAcentral's name for it is "eukaryotic LSU rRNA". The stretch from base 240 to 393 matches the Rfam family "5.8S ribosomal RNA". Lineage: Eukaryota; Fungi; Ascomycota; Eurotiomycetes; Eurotiales; Aspergillaceae. The record is from RNAcentral.
GAAGUAAAAAAUGUAACAAGGUUUCCGUAGGUGAACCUGCGGAAGGAUCAUUACCGAGUGCGGGUCCUUUGGGCCCAACCUCCCAUCCGUGUCUAUUGUACCCUGUUGCUUCGGCGGGCCCGCCGCUUGUCGGCCGCCGGGGGGGCGCCUCUGCCCCCCGGGCCCGUGCCCGCCGGAGACCCCAACACGAACACUGUCUGAAAGCGUGCAGUCUGAGUUGAUUGAAUGCAAUCAGUUAAAACUUUCAACAAUGGAUCUCUUGGUUCCGGCAUCGAUGAAGAACGCAGCGAAAUGCGAUAACUAAUGUGAAUUGCAGAAUUCAGUGAAUCAUCGAGUCUUUGAACGCACAUUGCGCCCCCUGGUAUUCCGGGGGGCAUGCCUGUCCGAGCGUCAUUGCUGCCCUCAAGCCCGGCUUGUGUGUUGGGUCGCCGUCCCCCUCUCCGGGGGGACGGGCCCGAAAGGCAGCGGCGGCACCGCGUCCGAUCCUCGAGCGUAUGGGGCUUUGUCACAUGCUCUGUAGGAUUGGCCGGCGCCUGCCGACGUUUUCCAACCAUUCUUUCCAGGUUGACCUCGGAUCAGGUAGGGAUACCCGCUGAAC